This 488-nucleotide ribosomal RNA is filed under the name uncultured bacterium. RNAcentral's name for it is "bacterial SSU rRNA". It matches the Rfam family "Bacterial small subunit ribosomal RNA", at positions 29 to 521 of the family's 1533-position model. The record is from RNAcentral.
AUUGAACGCUGGCGGCAGGCCUAACACAUGCAAGUCGAGCGGUAGCAGUCCUUCGGGAGCUGACGAGCGGCGGACGGGUGAGGAAUGCUUGGGAAUCUGCCCGAUAGAGGGGGAUAACUACGGGAAACUGUAGCUAAUACCGCAUGAUCUCUUAGGAGCAAAGCGGGGGACCUUCGGGCCUCGCGCUAUCGGAUGAGCCCAAGUGGGAUUAGCUAGUUGGUAGGGUAAAGGCCUACCAAGGCGACGAUCUCUAACUGGUCUGAGAGGAUGAUCAGUCACACUGGAACUGAGACACGGUCCAGACUCCUACGGGAGGCAGCAGUGGGGAAUAUUGCGCAAUGGGCGAAAGCCUGACGCAGCCACGCCGCGUGAGCGAUGAAGGCCUUCGGUCGUAAGACUCUGUGGGGGAGGAAGAAAAGACCGGUGAAGAGCGGACCUGACGUAUCCCUUAGCAAGCACCGGCUAACUACCGUGCCAGCAGCCGCGGU